AGCGCCUACGGGAGGCAGCAGUGGGGAAUAUUGCACAAUGGGCGAAAGCCUGAUGCAGCAACGCCGCGUGAAGGAAGACGGUUUUCGGAUUGUAAACUUCUAUCAAUAGGGAAGAAAGAAAUGACGGUACCUAAAUAAGAAGCCCCGGCUAACUACGUGCCAGCAGCCGCGGUAAUACGUAGGGGGCAGGCGUUAUCCGGAAUUACUGGGUGUAAAGGGAGCGUAGACGGUGAUGCAAGUCUGGAGUGAAAGGCGUGGGCCCCAC
RNAcentral lists this ribosomal RNA (265 nucleotides) under uncultured bacterium. RNAcentral describes it as "partial 16S ribosomal RNA". It matches the Rfam family "Bacterial small subunit ribosomal RNA", at positions 334 to 613 of the family's 1533-position model. The record is from RNAcentral.